This 3255-nucleotide long non-coding RNA is filed under the name Equus caballus (horse). RNAcentral describes it as "lncRNA (ENSECAG00000050011.1)". Lineage: Eukaryota; Metazoa; Chordata; Mammalia; Perissodactyla; Equidae. The record is from RNAcentral.
UCAGGGGCAGCCUCACAAUCCUCAAGCCCAGAGACUACCACGUGGGGGGUACAGAGUGGGUUCUGGACCACCAGCAUCAGCUUCACCCCUGAACCACUGACUCAGGCUCUCCGAGGCCAGGCUCACAAAUCUGCGUUGAUUAAGAAGCCUUUUUGGGUGAUUCUUAUAUAGAAUGAAGUUUGAGAGUUCCUGGAGAUAUCACACACUCAUGCAUACAUAUGACCUCCGAGAUGGCAUUUUCCUAAUCUUCCAUGACCAACCCCUCUUCUGCCAGCCCCUUUUUCUGUCAUUUCUUGAGUGGACAUUGGCGGUGACAGUCAAGGACAGUCGCAAUGGGGAGCAUCCUCGUGCCUGAUGAAACGGAAGGAGGACCAGUGAGGUCACUGCAAGCUGCCGGCCACCCCCGAGUCAUUCUUGUUAAGCUCUGCAGUGCGUCGCCCCCAUCCCAGCAGAGCUGCUCCCUCGCUUACAUUCUGCGCAGGCUCUCACCGGAUGGACGUUGUGUUUCUCUGGGAAGAAAGAGACUGAAGGAUUUUAGGAACCUUGCCAUUUAAAAAACAGAAGACAGGUGCAGCUCCCUAAGUUGACUUCCUGACCCAGAGCCUCAGGGUUUGGGGGGCGGGAGGGGAUGGGGGUGUGGUGGUAAAUUCAGCAGCACUACCAAGGUCUGGCUGUUGAGGCUUGGGGGCAUCCGUAAGACCAGCAAGCUGGCUUAACCUUGUUUGAAAAAAAGUUGCUUGCGUGGAAUUUUAGCCAGAAAAAACCAAUCAUGUAUAAGCAAGAAAAAAAAAAUACAUUUUAUGAUGAGAAAUAGUUGUGAAACAACUUUGAAUUUUACAUUUUUCAGAACUUAUGAUGAAUGGAAUAAUAUUUCUAAUUGUUCUUUUUUCAAGGAAAAAAAUUAUCCAGAUCAUUGACACCACUGAAAAGACUUGUCUUGGUUGGGUGGGGGUGGCAGGAGGGCAAAGACCCAGGGCUCCCCUGAGGGGUUCAGGGGGGCGCAUUGCCUCAGAGGAAGUUUCCAAGAAAUACAACUGCAUUUCUUAAUACAGUAUUUCAUCUGCACUUGAUAGAGCGUAGGUAACAUUCAUUCUGAAACAAAUGAUAAAAACUGUGCUACUCAUUUAGAAAUACAUUUUAAUAAAGUGCUAAAAAUAGAAGUAGAAGAUUAUUUGCUACCCAAAUGAAGCUUAAAAUUAGUGCCCUGGGCGUCCGACCACAACCACGCUGAGCACCUUGCCCCGUGCUCCCGUCGCCCUACCUGCUGUGCAGGCAGAAGGAAGGAGGCAGAAACCCGAGGAGCAAAUUCAUCUCAUCUCCCCUCUUAAACCCGCAAGAAUGCGCCUGCACUGAGGCCUGACCAAACUCUUCGAAUGGGUCUUGGAGGUCUCCAAGGUCUGACCCAGCCCACCUGCAAAUGUUUUCAAGCAGCAACAUAUGCUCUACCAGUGAAAUCUUGCAUGCCCUCUGCAAAAUGGCCCCAAGCAGAGGUGGACAAGGGAGAGCAUUGAGACCUGCCUGUGCCUGCCCCACUUGGCCCCCACCCCAGGCAUCUCCUCCAUGCCCCAUGGGACCUACCCUACCCCGUGCUGCUCCUCCAGCUCCUCUGAGCCCGUGCAAAGUUAGGUUACAGGUCUCCCUGUGUGUGUGGGGGGGGGGGGGGGGGAGGGGGGAGCCAGGAAAAGCUGCUCCUUUAUGUUCUCUCUGUCCCACACCAGAGCCACGUGCUGCCUGCCUCCUCCUUCACCUUGCCGAGGCUGCCGGCUUGACCUCAGACAUACCCCUGGUCCAGGGAACUCCCAGCCCCUGGGAGCAGAGUCCCCAUGGGACAGGAAGAGCUGCAGGGCUGCUGGGCCUUGCUCUCCUAGAAAGCAUGAAGCUUGAAUGGAUUCGGGACAGCCAUCCCACCUUGCAAAGUAGCCCCUUUGUGCCUCACCAGUCCUGACUUAUGUAACCUUUCAUUCAAAGGGGUGCUUUUCAGAAAGCCCAGGAUGUGGGCUCGAAAUAUAACUCUGGAGGCUGACCUUUAGCACAGUUUGUUAACAAGAAUUUGUUACUGUUAGAGCUGGCGCUGCAUCUCUUACACAGUUUAAAGGGUGUGGCAUGUGCCCAUAUAUGCCUAGCACUGGCCCAAUGACACUGCCUUUAUUGUCUAAAAAUGUUGGCAUCCAGCAACGUCAAGAAAAUUAGUCUUGACAUGGUGAAAAAAAGUGUUCCAUUCAAUAAGGCAGAGGGAACACAACCCAUUUGGUUCCUGGGGAAGGGCAGGUACUGGGGGAUCUGGUGACAACCGUCAUGGAUGCUCUGAAAUACGAACAUGGUUUGACAAGAGACAGGGUUUGAAGUCACCAGGGUGAGGUUGAUGAUUCAUCCAUCGAGAGGAGAAUUCUAGAAUGGAUUAAGUCGCAUGUGCAGGAAGCGAACCAUUUAAUAUAACUAAUUUAUAUUAAAUUAGCUUUAAUUUAUGGUUCCUGGAGCCUGGGUGCCCUCCUGAAGGUCUAGAAUAGGUCACCUGAAGGAUGUGGGUCGGAGUCAGGCUGGGCGUUCUGCUGGAGCUGCGACGGGUCAUGUUUUAGGAGGGGGGUUGUGCUGAGUACUAGUACCACCAGUAGGAAUGGUAAUAACUGGGUACUAGUAACCCUUUUCUAAACCUUUUAUAUGUGGUAACUCAUUUAAUCCCAACUCCAUCUCUGUGAGCCUCUACAAAGGAGGAGGGCGUGAGACGGGCAGUAACUUCCGUCCUGUGUCAGGGUCCCUGGGAGGCAGGAGGUCUCUGGAGUGUGAAGCGGGGUCAGUCCUUUGGGGAGUGAGGAGGCAGAGCUGGGCAGAGGAAGCUCUGAGCUGUGGUGCGGUCACCACAGAGGCCUCAGCCACCGCCUGGGGAGCUCCGGCUCUGAGGGGGGGCCCUUCUCAGUUGUCCCAAAUUGGAACAGGGGGAGCCCGGGGGAUGGAGGGGCGGCUCCCUCCAGGGCAACUAGGGAGUUUUGUAGGUCCGCAUGGGGGGUAACGAGGGGCUGGGGUUAGGACUCAGGUGGUGGGUGCGGUGGUGCAUUAGUGCCGAAGGCUGGUGUUCGUGUGGUGGGCAGCUAGCUAAUGGAAGAGCCCGCGUUCUUGGAGGCACAGGUUCCAUCGUGGUCCCUUCACCCCUGUUAGAGGGAAACAGCGUGGCUGACGAAUGAGCCUUUUGGCUCAGGAAUUCAUCAUCUCUAGAGGAGAAAGAACACUAAGCAAGAAAAAAGGCAGAAAAUCGUAAAA